UACGAAGGGGGCUAGCGUUGCUCGGAAUUACUGGGCGUAAAGCGCACGUAGGCGGAUUGUUAAGUCGGGGGUGAAAUCCUGGAGCUCAACUCCAGAACUGCCUUCGAUACUGGCGAUCUCGAGUUCGGGAGAGGUGAGUGGAACUGCGAGUGUAGAGGUGAAAUUCGUAGAUAUUCGCAAGAACACCGGUGGCGAAGGCGGCCAUCUGGACCGGCACUGACGCUGAGGCGCGAAAGCGUGGGGAGCAAACAGG
RNAcentral lists this ribosomal RNA (253 nucleotides) under uncultured bacterium. RNAcentral describes it as "partial 16S ribosomal RNA". It matches the Rfam family "Bacterial small subunit ribosomal RNA", at positions 524 to 776 of the family's 1533-position model. The record is from RNAcentral.